This 253-nucleotide ribosomal RNA is filed under the name uncultured bacterium. Its description in RNAcentral is "partial 16S ribosomal RNA". It matches the Rfam family "Bacterial small subunit ribosomal RNA", at positions 524 to 776 of the family's 1533-position model. The record is from RNAcentral.
UACGUAGGGGGCGAGCGUUGUCCGGAUUUAUUGGGCGUAAAGGGUGCGUAGGCGGUCGGGUAAGUCUGAUGUGAAAUCUCACAGCUUAACUGUGAAACUGCAUUGGAUACUAUCCGGCUAGAGGAAUGGAGGGGAGACUGGAAUACUUGGUGUAGCAGUGAAAUGCGUAGAUAUCAAGUGGAACACCAGUGGCGAAGGCGAGUCUCUGGACAUUUCCUGACGCUGAGGCACGAAAGCCAGGGGAGCAAACGGG